AGUCACUGACAUUAGAUACCCCUGUAGUCCCAGCCGUAAACAAUGUGCGUUAGGUGUGUCGGUAACCACGCGUUACUGAUGCGCCGAAGAGAAAUCGUGAAACGCACCACCUGGGAAGUACGGUCGCAAGGCUGAAACUUAAAGGAAUUGGCGGGGGAGCACCACAACAGGUGGAGCCUGCGGUUUAAUUGGAUUCAACGCCGGAUAUCUCACCGGAUAAGACAGCUGAAUGAUUGUCAAUCUGAAGGUUUUACAUGACUAGCUG
This 265-nucleotide ribosomal RNA is filed under the name uncultured archaeon. RNAcentral's name for it is "partial 16S ribosomal RNA". It matches the Rfam family "Archaeal small subunit ribosomal RNA", at positions 718 to 982 of the family's 1478-position model. The record is from RNAcentral.